CUUUUGGCUUUAUGCAUUGUAGAGUAUGAAGGGUGAGACCUGCCCAAUGGUUAUAUCUUAAAAGGUUAGUAGGGCUAACUUAAUAAAGAUAAUUAAAUGGCCGCGGUAACACUAACCGUGAAAAUGUAGCGUAAUCAAUAGUCAAUUAAUUGUUGGCCGGUAUGAAUGGUGUCACGAGGGUCUCACUGUCUUAAGGAAAUCUCCAGUGAAAUUGAAUUUGUAGUGAAGAUGCUACAUCCAAAUUGUUAGACGAGAAGACCCCAUGGAACUUUACUGGAAACUUAUGUGGCUGACUUAAAUAGUUUUAAAAGGUGGUGCGGAUUAAUUAGGGUUAAAAAGUUCACUUUUUUAUUUGAAGAAAGGCAACUCAAAAACUUAUAUCUUUGGGAUUUGAUAAGUGGGACAGUUUGGUUGGGGCGAUCGCCUUUAAAAAAGUAACGAAGGCGGGCUUAAGAUAUAUAUUUGGUUAUGUCUGACUGCCAGGGGGAAACCUAGAGCAGACACUUAUCUUUGGAUGGUGGGUUUAAGUGACCCGUUAAUUUAGGGUGAAAUAGUUAACGAUAAACAAAUAAAAGUUACCCUGGGGAUAACAGCGUAAUAACGUCAGAGAGUUUUCAUCGACGACGAUGUUUGCGCCUCUCGAUGUUA
Molecule: ribosomal RNA, 648 nt
Filed under: Montipora sp. 1 XNL-2012
Lineage: Eukaryota; Metazoa; Cnidaria; Anthozoa; Scleractinia; Acroporidae
Description: partial 16S ribosomal RNA
Rfam family: Bacterial large subunit ribosomal RNA
Source: RNAcentral